CCUACGGGAGGCAGCAGUGGGGAAUUUUGGACAAUGGGCGCAAGCCUGAUCCAGCAAUGCCGCGUGCAGGAUGAAGGCCUUCGGGUUGCAAACUGCUUUUGUACGGAACGAAACGGCUCUUUCUAAUAAAGAGAGCUAAUGACGGUACCGUAAGAAUAAGCACCGGCUAACUACGUGCCAGCAGCCGCGGUAAUACGUAGGGUGCGAGCGUUAAUCGGAAUUACUGGGCGUAAAGCGUGCGCAGGCGGUUAUAUAAGACAGAUGUGAAAUCCCCGGGCUCAACCUGGGACCUGCAUUUGUGACUGUAUAGCUAGAGUACGGUAGAGGGGGAUGGAAUUCCGCGUGUAGCAGUGAAAUGCGUAGAUAUGCGGAGGAACACCGAUGGCGAAGGCAAUCCCCUGGACCUGUACUGACGCUCAUGCACGAAAGCGUGGGGAGCAAACAGGAUUAGAUACCCUGGUAGUCCACGCCCUAAACCGAUGUCAACUGGUUGUUGGGUCUUCACUGCUCAGUAACGAAGCUAACGCGUGAAGUUGACCGCCUGGGGAGUCGGCCGCAAGGUUGAAACGUCAAAGGAAUUGACGGCUGAGACGAGCGACGGACGACGACGAGGGGAGGAGG
RNAcentral lists this ribosomal RNA (621 nucleotides) under uncultured bacterium. RNAcentral's name for it is "bacterial SSU rRNA". It matches the Rfam family "Bacterial small subunit ribosomal RNA", at positions 338 to 959 of the family's 1533-position model. The record is from RNAcentral.